CCGAACGAGAUCUUGUGAGCUAGCCCUGUUGUCACUUAAGCUAAUUAAAUACGUUCCUCUGUUCCUAACUGUAAACAUGUAGCAGGCUUCUCAUGGAAACUAAGGGGAAUGCUGAAAAUGUCGAGUCCAGGUAAAAAAGUGAAACCAGGAGAAAAACUGCCUGUGAAACCCACAGGAGCCCAGAGCAGGGCGUCCCAUGAUCUCAGAAAGCUCCAGGCUCUGCUUGCCAAAAGCAGCUCCAGACAAGAGGUGGCAGCUUUGAGUCACAGUAAAGCUGGCAGCAGCGGAGCCAGCAGACCUCUACAUCCUCCCAAAGACAGCAGCAGUGAAGCUUCUGAGCUGGAAAAAUUCAGGUUUACUGAACUUAAAACUACACCUACAGUUAGUUCACAUGAUCACCAGAGCUCUGUUGUUUCUAAAAAGUCUACGUGUUUGUUCAUAUAG
Parambassis ranga (Indian glassy fish) is the source of this 444-nucleotide long non-coding RNA. The record is from Ensembl. NCBI's taxonomy places the organism in Eukaryota, Metazoa, Chordata, Actinopteri, Ambassidae.